Molecule: ribosomal RNA, 445 nt
Filed under: uncultured bacterium
Lineage: Bacteria
Description: bacterial SSU rRNA
Rfam family: Bacterial small subunit ribosomal RNA
Source: RNAcentral
GUGAGGAAUAUUGGUCAAUGGACGGAAGUCUGAACCAGCCAUGCCGCGUGCAGGAAUAAGGUCCUAUGGAUUGUAAACUGCUUUUAUUCGGGAAUAAACCUCUUUACGUGUAGGGAGCUGAAGGUACCGAAGGAAUAAGCACCGGCUAACUCCGUGCCAGCAGCCGCGGUAAUACGGAGGGUGCAAGCGUUAUCCGGAGUCAUUGGGUUUAAAGGGUCCGCAGGCGGGCUAUCAAGUCAGAGGUGAAAUCCCACAGCUUAACUGUGGAACUGCCUUUGAAACUGAUGGUCUUGAAUUAAGUGGGCGUUGGCGGAAUAUGACAUGUAGCGGUGAAAUGCAUAGAUAUGUCAUGGAACACCGAAAGCGAAGGCAGCUAACGAUACUUAUAUUGACGCUCAUGGACGAAAGCGUGGGUAGCGAACAGGAUUAGAAACCCGGGUAGUCC